This 253-nucleotide ribosomal RNA is filed under the name uncultured bacterium. Its description in RNAcentral is "partial 16S ribosomal RNA". It matches the Rfam family "Bacterial small subunit ribosomal RNA", at positions 524 to 776 of the family's 1533-position model. The record is from RNAcentral.
GACGUAGGGGCCGAGCGUUGUCCGGAGUUACUGGGCGUAAAGCGCGCGCAGGCGGCGCCUCGCGCCCGACGUGAAAGCCCCCGGCCCAACCGGGGAGGGUCGUCGGGGACGGGGGCGCUUGAGGGGCGCAGGGGCUGGUGGAAUUCCCGGUGUAGUGGUGAAAUGCGUAGAGAUCGGGAGGAACACCCGUGGCGAAGGCGGCCAGCUGGGCGCCACCUGACGCUGAGGCGCGAAGGCGUGGGGAGCGAACGGG